RNAcentral lists this long non-coding RNA (1044 nucleotides) under Monodelphis domestica (gray short-tailed opossum). RNAcentral's name for it is "lncRNA (ENSMODG00000031520.2)". Lineage: Eukaryota; Metazoa; Chordata; Mammalia; Didelphimorphia; Didelphidae. The record is from RNAcentral.
AAGAAACCCUGCCCAGGGUGUGGACGUGUGAAUUAGAGGGAAAGGCGGGAAGGGCCAGCUCCCACAUCUCGCUAGCGCUGGCCCCCGAGGUCAAAAGCUACACGUGCGUGCCGAUGUGGGUUUGUAUAUCUAGAUAUGUAUUCCAUGUAACAUCUUUUCUUCUUCCCCCGGGGCCUUGGGACAGUGGCUCAGUGCUGAGGAGGGGCGGUGGCGCGCAUGCGCUCAGGUCCGUCCGUCCCGGGGGCACUUUGGGAGUCGUAGUCUCAUGUGCUUUGCAGCAGCUCGAGGAGGAGGAGGAGGAGGAGGAGGAGGGAAAAGAAGGUCGAAGCGUGCUAGCAGCCCUUGGCUGAGGUCCAGCAGCUCCCGGAGCAGCAGUAGCGGCAGCGGCGGCAGACACGGCGGCGGCGGCGGCUCCUGCACCCUCGCUACCGGGCAGGGACCAGACACAGUAGUAGCUUCCUCCCACCCCAUCAUGCCGGCCUCCCCCCCUCCCCUCAGCCCUAGGGCCAGAAGAGCGAGAAAGCAUGCCUGCGGUAAAGGGUCCGAUUGGAGCCUCGCUUCGCCUCGCCCCACCUCGCCUCGCCCCGCAUGCGGCCAGGAGAAGGGACAAGGGAGGCUUCCAUUCUAUCAUUGGGGAUUCUGGAAAACUGGAAGUGGUCAGAAGACUAGGGGACCACUCAGAACUGUCCUCAAGAAAGGGAUUUUCAGGUUUGAACUCUUUCCCCCCCCCUUUUCUUCUCAAAAUGGCCCUGUGCGUGUGGUAUGUAUGUGGAGGGGGGGGCAUUCUUCUCAAUCUGGACGUUCCUUUUCAGGAAACUUUUCAAGAUCCGGAGACCAGUAGCCGUGUACCCAUUCUUCUCAAGCCUCAGGUAAGGGAAGCCUGGGGGUUUAAGAGAAAAGAACAGAAGCAAGAACUCUGACAACUUCUUUUCCUCACGGUGGCAGACCAGUUUGCCCCCCCACCCCCCCACCAUUGCAGAAAACCUUGAAGAUGGUAGGUAUGAUACCGUAUCCUUUAAAUAAAUGAUUUUUUAGAAUUAGUCA